GACGAACGCUGGCGGCGUGCUUAACACAUGCAAGUCGAACGGAAAGGCCCUGCUUUUGUGGGGUUCUCGAGUGGCGAACGGGUGAGUAACACGUGAGUAACCUGCCCUUGACUUUGGGAUAACUUCAGGAAACUGGGGCUAAUACCGGAUAGGAGCUCCUGCUGCAUGGUGGGGGUUGGAAAGUCUCGGCGGUUGGGGAUGGACUCGGGGCUUAUCAGCUUGUUGGUGGGGUAGUGGCUUACCAAGGGUGUGACGGAUAGCCGGCCUGAGAGGGUGACCGGCCACAUUGGGACUGAGAUACGGCCCAGACUCCUACGGGAGGCAGCAGUGGGGAAUAUUGCACAAUGGGCGGACGCCUGAUGCAGCAACGCCGCGUGCGGGAUGACGGCCUUCGGGUUGUAAACCGCUUUCGCCUGUGACGAAGCGUGAGUGACGGUAAUGGGUAAAGAAGCACCGGCUAACUACGUG
Molecule: ribosomal RNA, 468 nt
Filed under: uncultured bacterium
Lineage: Bacteria
Description: partial 16S ribosomal RNA
Rfam family: Bacterial small subunit ribosomal RNA
Source: RNAcentral